UUAGGAGCUUUAAAACCAAUUUAAAUUUCUCAAAAUCCAAAGAAAAACAUAUGAAAUCAUACCUUAAUUCCCAACACAAGAUGGCCGAAUGCCUUAGGUGUUCUUCCUUCCAUUUUUCUUUUUCCUUUCCUUAUGGUUUCGGCAAGAUGAAAAAUAGAUGAUGGGACUUUGUUUUUAUCACCACCACUAAUAUAAAUUUAUUAUUAUACAUAAUUCCCACCAAUUAAAAAUGGAGACAAGAGAACACAUUGUUACAUGCAUGUGUUGGCCGGCCAUUUACAUUCAAAAAUGGUCUAAUUGACAUGCAAGUCCACAUUUUUGAAUACAUGCUCUAUUAGAU
RNAcentral lists this long non-coding RNA (340 nucleotides) under Gossypium barbadense (sea-island cotton). Its description in RNAcentral is "long non-coding RNA (GBAR_LNC023166)". Lineage: Eukaryota; Viridiplantae; Streptophyta; Magnoliopsida; Malvales; Malvaceae. The record is from RNAcentral.